This 237-nucleotide long non-coding RNA is filed under the name Elaeis guineensis (African oil palm). RNAcentral describes it as "long non-coding RNA (EGUI_LNC028529)". The record is from RNAcentral. Lineage: Eukaryota; Viridiplantae; Streptophyta; Magnoliopsida; Arecales; Arecaceae.
CCAACCUUCAUUGAGGACAAACAAUUCAGAUGCCGACUUCUUUAUUUAAUUUGACAUGGACACCUAAAAAGUCUGAAGAUUAAAAGAUGCAGAAAGUUAUUAUCUUGAUUAGGGUUGUAAAUUUGUAAUAUUAAACCAUGUAUUGCAACCAACAUGAUUAAAGAUCCAUCCUUUUCUAGUUCAACAUUGCACUCGAGGACCUAAACUCGGUAUUGUCACGGUCAAUCUUAUGGCCUG